GACGAACGCUGGCGGCGUGCCUAAUACAUGCAAGUUGAGCGCUGAAGGUUGGUACUUGUACCAACUGGAUGAGCAGCGAACGGGUGAGUAACGCGUGGGGAAUCUGCCUUUGAGCGGGGGACAACAUUUGGAAACGAAUGCUAAUACCGCAUAAAAACUUUAAACACAAGUUUUAAGUUUGAAAGAUGCAAUUGCAUCACUCAAAGAUGAUCCCGCGUUGCAUUAGCUAGUUGGUGAGGUAAAGGCUCACCAAGGCGAUGAUACGUAGCCGACCUGAGAGGGUGAUCGGCCACAUUGGGACUGAGACACGGCCCAAACUCCUACGGGAGGCAGCAGUAGGGAAUCUUCGGCAAUGGACGAAAGUCUGACCGAGCAACGCCGCGUGAGUGAAGAAGGUUUUCGGAUCGUAAAACUCUGUUGGUAGAGAAGAACGUUGGUGAGAGUGGAAAGCUCAUCAAGUGACGGUAACUACCCAGAAAGGGACGGCUAACUACGUG
Molecule: ribosomal RNA, 497 nt
Filed under: uncultured bacterium
Lineage: Bacteria
Description: partial 16S ribosomal RNA
Rfam family: Bacterial small subunit ribosomal RNA
Source: RNAcentral